GCGAUUGUGGCGAAGUGGUUAACGCUCCGGAUUGUGGCUCCGGUAUUCGUGGGUUCGAUUCCCAUCAGUCGCCCCA
Molecule: transfer RNA, 76 nt
Filed under: Acholeplasmataceae bacterium
Lineage: Bacteria; Bacillati; Mycoplasmatota; Mollicutes; Acholeplasmatales; Acholeplasmataceae
Description: tRNA-His
Rfam family: tRNA
About the family: Transfer RNA (tRNA) molecules are approximately 80 nucleotides in length.
Source: RNAcentral